AACACGUGGGAACAUCCCUUUCAGUUCGGAAUAACUCAGGGAAACUUGAGCUAAUACCGGAUACGUCCGUGAGGAGAAAGAUUUAUCGCUGAAAGAUUGGCCCGCGUCUGAUUAGCUAGUUGGUGAGGUAAUGGCUCACCAAGGCGACGAUCAGUAGCUGAUCUGAGAGGAUGAUCAGCCACAUUGGGACUGAGACACGGCCCAAACUCCUACGGGAGGCAGCAGUGGGGAAUAUUGGACAAUGGGCGCAAGCCUGAUCCAGCCAUGCCGCGUGAGUGAUGAAGGCCUUCGGGUUGUAAAGCUCUUCUAUCCGGGAAGAUAAUGACUGUACCGGAAGAAUAAGCCCCGGCAAACUUCGUGCCAGCAGCCGCGGUAAUACGAAGGGGGCUAGCGUUGUUCGGAUUUACUGGGCGUAAAGCGCACGUAGGCGGCUUGUUAAGUCAGAGGUGAAAGCCUGGAGCUCAACUCCAGAACUGCCUUUGAUACUGACAGGCUCGAGUAUGGUAGAGGUUGGUGGAACUGCGAGUGUAGAGGUGAAAUUCGUAGAUAUUCGCAAG
Molecule: ribosomal RNA, 557 nt
Filed under: uncultured bacterium
Lineage: Bacteria
Description: bacterial SSU rRNA
Rfam family: Bacterial small subunit ribosomal RNA
Source: RNAcentral